This 645-nucleotide small RNA is filed under the name Pongo abelii (Sumatran orangutan). Its description in RNAcentral is "retained intron". Lineage: Eukaryota; Metazoa; Chordata; Mammalia; Primates; Hominidae. The record is from RNAcentral.
GUUCUCCUGGUAUAGUUAAAAAAAAUCUCCUCUGGUACUACUGAAACAACUAAUUUUUCUUAUUUUGUUUGUUUCUCUUUAUUAUUAAAUACUAUCUGAAUUAACUCUUUAGUAGUUGGCCUGGUUGAAGCUCUGUGAGGAACAAAGCAGCCCUCUCUAGGUGAACUGCUUGACUUUACCACCUGAAGGAGUAUUUACUGCAAGAAUUAACAAAGCAUGUGUUCCUGAUCCAAGCAGAACCCUGUUAUUUGAAGAGCCUGAGAAAUCUUAUCCCAUUUACAAAUAUCCUGGGAGUGCAUCCAAAGUGAAACUUGGGCAUCCUCAAUACUAAGAAAUCUCUGAGAAUGGCUGGGUCUUGGCUCUUUGACCUUACCUCUACUCCACUGAAAAACAUGAUUAUCUAAAAUUGUAUUAGGUGGAUGAACCACAUCAAAGACUUCCAGAAGCCACUCCAGUGACGAUAAGAUAAAUGUCAGAAUCGCAUAACCCCCAGGAUCAGGCAAGUGUUAUCCUCUCUUAAAACUGUUUACAACCAUGAUCUCUUUUUGGGAAUCAUUACAUUUGACUUGCUGCUUAUUUUUGUUGGAUGUUACCAGUGCUUGGUGAUAAAACUUGAUGUGGCUCUUUGCCUUGAAAAAGAAAAAA